UCGAUAUACUGGCUCAGUCGCCAGUCAGACAUUCAGCGUGUCGCACGUACGCACGCAUCGAGCAGCAGCAGCAGCAGCAGCAGCAGCAGCAGUAGCAGCAGCGCGGGCGCGUUCAGUGGUUGUUGGAAACAGUCAGACACAAACACACACAUAUACUAAUACACCCACAUACAAGCGUACAGCGACCAGCAAACAAAAUUUUCUGUUCUUUCUGUUCCGCUUUUGGUCAACAAAAAAAAACCGUUUUUCAUUCGAUUAUACUCUUCAACUAUUUUGUGUGUCAACGAGAAAAACGGGCGAAAUAAAAGUAAUAUCAGGAAAUGAUCAAAAUUUACAAUUUUCAGCAACCAAACAGCCAAGUGAUAAAGACAAAGUGUUCAAGACAAAAUGUAAUAAAUAUAUAAUUAAAUAUACAACAACAAAAACACCAAUAACAACAACAGCAAACGAAAACCAAAUCAAAUCAGAAACAAAACAAAUGAAAUUAUAUAUAAUAAUAAUGUUGAACAGCACUCAAAAGAUGUCAAGUCAAAGAUGCGCACAAUUAGCUUAAAAAAGUCAACGACAACAGCAACAACAACAACAACAAUAACAGCACGCAGAGCAAAUAAAUAAAUACAACAACAACAACAGCCAGAAUUUACAAGCAAAAGGAUAAUCACAAAAAAGCACGACCGUAAAAUAAAACUAAAC
Molecule: long non-coding RNA, 693 nt
Organism: Drosophila navojoa
Lineage: Eukaryota; Metazoa; Arthropoda; Insecta; Diptera; Drosophilidae
Gene: DopEcR
Source: RefSeq, a predicted model, not a curated record